RNAcentral lists this ribosomal RNA (500 nucleotides) under uncultured bacterium. Its description in RNAcentral is "partial 16S ribosomal RNA". It matches the Rfam family "Bacterial small subunit ribosomal RNA", at positions 899 to 1397 of the family's 1533-position model. The record is from RNAcentral.
ACUCAAAGGAAUUGACGGGGACCCGCACAAGCGGUGGAGCAUGUGGUUUAAUUCGAGGCAACGCGAAGAACCUUACCAGGCCUUGACUUCCUGAUUAACGGGUACAGAGACGUACCUUUCAGUUCGGCUGGAUCAGUGACAGGUGCUGCAUGGCUGUCGUCAGCUCGUGUCGUGAGAUGUUGGGUUAAGUCCCGCAACGAGCGCAACCCUCAUCUUUAGUUGCCAUCAGUUCGGCUGGGCACUCUAAAGAAACUGCCGGCGUUAAGCCGGAGGAAGGUGGGGAUGACGUCAAGUCUUCAUGGCCCUUACGGCCUGGGCUACACACGUGCUACAAUGGUGGUGACAGAGGGCAGCUAACCCGCGAGGGUAUGCGAAUCUCCAAAAACCACCUCAGUUCAGAUUGCAGGCUGCAACUCGCCUGUAUGAAGCUGGAAUCGCUAGUAAUCGCAGAUCAGAACGCUGCGGUGAAUACGUUCCCGGGUCUUGUACACACCGCCCGU